AUUGAACGCUGGCGGCAGGCUUAACACAUGCAAGUCGAGCGAGCGGCGGACGGGUGAGUAAUGUCUGGGAAACUGCCUGAUGGAGGGGGAUAACUACUGGAAACGGUCGCUAAUACCGCAUACCAACAGCUGUCCCAAGAUGGGAUUAGCUAGUAGGUGGGGUAAUGGCUCACCUAGGCGACGAGCCCUAGCUGGUCUGAGAGGAUGACCAGCCACACUGGAACUGAGACACGGGCCAGACUCCUACGGGAGGCAGCAGUGGGGAAUAUUGCACAAUGGGCGCAAGCCGGAUGCAGCCAUGCCGCGUGUGUGAAGAAGGCCUUCGGGUUGUAAAGCACUUUCAGCGAGGAGGCGUUACUCGCAGAAGAAGCACCGGCUAACUCCGUGCCAGCAGCCGCGGUAAUUC
Molecule: ribosomal RNA, 406 nt
Filed under: uncultured bacterium
Lineage: Bacteria
Description: partial 16S ribosomal RNA
Rfam family: Bacterial small subunit ribosomal RNA
Source: RNAcentral